RNAcentral lists this non-coding RNA (24 nucleotides) under Cricetulus griseus (Chinese hamster). The record is from RNAcentral. Lineage: Eukaryota; Metazoa; Chordata; Mammalia; Rodentia; Cricetidae.
UGGGCUGCAGGAGACUGAAGAGAA